UUCUAAGUGUCGGGGGUUUCCUCGGUACUGAAGUUAACACAUUAAGUACUCCGCCUGAGUAGUACGUACGCAAGUAUGAAACUUAAAGGAAUUGACGGGAUCCCGCACAAGCGGUGGAUCAUGUUUGUUUAAUUCGAAGAUACACGAAAAACCUUACCAGGUCUUGACAUUAUUCUGCGAAGCUAUAGAAAUAUAGUGGAGGUUAUCAGAAUAACAGGUGGUGCAUGGUUGUCGUCAGCUCGUGUCGUGAGAUGUUAGGUUAAGUCCUAAAACGAGCGCAACCCUUGUCGUUAGUUACCAGCACGUUAUGGUGGGGACUUUAGCGAGACUGCCAAUGAAAAAAUUGGAGGAAGGUGAGGAUUACGUCAAAUCAUCAUGCCCCUUAUGAUCUGGGCUACAAACGUGAUACAAUGGCUAUUACAAAGAGCAGCUGAAACGUGAGUUGUUAGCUAAUCUCAAAAAAAUAGUCUCAGUUCGGAUUGAAGUCUGCAACUCGACUUCAUGAAGUUGGAAUCGCUAGUAAUCGCGAAUCAGCAUGUCGCGGUGAAUACGUUCUCGGGGUUUGUACACACCGCCCGUCAAACCAUGAAAGUUGACAAUACCCAAAACCAGUCGCUUAACUACUUCGGUAGAGGGAGCUGUCUAAGGUAGGGUCGAUGAUUGGGGUUAAGUCGUAACAAGGUAUCCCUACCGGAAGGUGGGGAUGGAUCACCUCCUUUCUAAGGAAUUGUCGGAUCAUGAUCAUCUUCAGUUUUGAAAGACUUAGAGUAGAAUAAGUUUUUCUUUUGGCGUAGAGGAAGGGCCUAUAGCUCAGUUGGUAGAGCACACGCUUGAUAAGCGUGCGGUCAAUGGUUCAAGUCCAUUUAGGCCCACCAUACCACAUUCUCUUCUUAUUUCAAA
RNAcentral lists this small RNA (900 nucleotides) under Cape St. Paul wilt phytoplasma. RNAcentral describes it as "bacterial SSU rRNA". The stretch from base 1 to 719 matches the Rfam family "Bacterial small subunit ribosomal RNA", at positions 814 to 1533 of the family's 1533-position model. The record is from RNAcentral. Lineage: Bacteria; Bacillati; Mycoplasmatota; Mollicutes; Acholeplasmatales; Acholeplasmataceae. RNAcentral also lists the same sequence under 1 other name.